GAACGAUGAUAAUUCUGAGAAAAUUGAAUUUGAUAAGAAAUUUCAGAAUGAGGUGAAAUUAACAAAAUAUGACUUUACUCAAUCUGAAGAGAAUGAACCUGUUUUUCUUCAAGGAGAUAAUGAGAAUGAACUUGUGGUUGAAGAGGCUGAUAGUCCUCUUGGAGGAACUGAACCAGAAGAAAAUAUCCUAACAUUGAAAAGACCUCUAUCAAAGACUAUUAGCUUGUAAGGGAUAGAGAGAUGAGAUGACCUAAUCUUAGGUGUGAGUCUCAAAAUUUAACUGAUUUUACCUCUGUUUCUGGAGAGGCCAUAGAGCAUAAUGAACCUUCCUCUUUUGAAGAGGCCGUGAAUGGAUUAAAAUCAGAAAAUUGGAAAUUGUCUGUGAAAGAGGAAAAUAUAAUCUUUGAUGGAAAACAAAACUUAAAAAUUGGUUAUAAGACCUAAGAACCAAAGAAUAAUCCAAUGCAAAUGAAUUUAUAAAUUGAAAGAGGGAACUAAUCCAUCUUGCAUUAGUUGUUCAAUUCAAUUGGAAACAUGAAAACUAGAUGUUAAAGACUGCAUUCUUUCAUGGAGAAUUGGAGAAGAAUAUUUAAAUGAGUCAACCUCAAGUUUUUGAUGUGAAGAAUAAAAUUGAUUUUGUUUGUAAAUUGGAAAAUCACUCUAUGGGCUAAAAUAAAUUCCUAGGCAGUUGUAAAAGAGGUUUGAUUCAUACGUCCUUAAAAUUGGUUUUAAAAGGAGUGAUUAUAAUACUUAUUUGUACUAUAAUAACAUCCGGCUUUGAAGCCUACUUACAAUUGUAUGUGGAUGACGUCUUAUUAGCUAGUCCAAAUAAAAGAAAAUCAUAAGAUUGAAAAGCAUUUUAAAAUUUGAAUUUGACAUGAAAGAUUUAAGUGACGCUAAAGGGUAAUGUCGAUAAAGGGUAAUUUCUUUGCAUGUAUAGGGCGGCAAUGAUGGACCUCCCAUUUUAGUGCACCAUUAAGCAUAUUGUAGAGAGUGUUUGCAUUUUGAAACCAAGGUGAAGAUUGAAGGAUAAAUCGUGUUUUCGAAGAUGCAACUCUUUUAAGUGAUAUUCCACGUGGCUGAUUCUCAGUGGAUGAUUAGACGAAACCCAUAUUGUGCUCUCUCUCCUGUGUUGUGAGCCAUUGAUUUUAAUUAAUGGCUGUGAUCACUUGUUGCCUCUUUUACACAUUUGGUUUGUUAGCCUUUGGCGUUGAGAUUCAGUUCUGAUUUCUGAAAAAGGCUCUUUGUUCUCUCUACUCAUUUCGAGUGAUCUCUUCAUUUUCUUCCAUAGAUUGUGUUAUUGACCCUUAAUAGAUUUGUAAAUCUUCUUCCUAUAUUGUAACAGAAACUUGAGUCAGUAUUUCGCUGCUCUAAUUAGUUUCUAUUUGGUUGAUUUGUGCUAUAGGGUUGAGUAUCUCUUGGUUAAGUAGCCUCAAUAACCGGAUAUUUCUUUAAAAAACCAUCAUUUUCAUCAUCAUCUUGUAAGUAUGCAACUAAAACAUAAUUUGUUCUUGGUAAUAAUAUAAAGGUGGUUACAUUGCCACCACAAAUUUUAUUUGAUGUACUACAUAUUAAUUACCAUUAAGAUUCUUAAUCUUUGCUCAUUGCAGCUAUUAUUUUUUAACUUUUUUC
This 1632-nucleotide long non-coding RNA is filed under the name Olea europaea subsp. europaea. Lineage: Eukaryota; Viridiplantae; Streptophyta; Magnoliopsida; Lamiales; Oleaceae. The record is from RNAcentral.